This 221-nucleotide ribosomal RNA is filed under the name uncultured euryarchaeote. RNAcentral's name for it is "partial 16S ribosomal RNA". It matches the Rfam family "Archaeal small subunit ribosomal RNA", at positions 327 to 549 of the family's 1478-position model. Lineage: Archaea; Methanobacteriati; Methanobacteriota. The record is from RNAcentral.
GGGGUGCAGCAGGCGCGAAACCUUUACAAUGCACGCAAGUGUGAUAAGGGAAUCCUAAGUGCNUNUNUUUUACAUAGGCUUUUGCCAAANGUAAAUACUUUGGCGAAUAAGUGGUGGGUAAGUCUGGUGCCAGCCGCCGCGGUAACCCCAGCNCCACAAGUGGGGAUCGAUUUUAUUGGGUCUAAAGCGUUCGUAGCAGGUUCUGUAAAUUUCUUGUGAAA